ACCACUAUAUUUUAUAAGAAAUGGUAAGGUGUAACCUCCGCACCAUAUGCAUAGACACAUGAUUGUUCUUGAAGUGUAAAAUUCAAUCUCUUUAAAUGGGGCAAGAUUAUGAAGCCAUGUACCAAUAUAUGGUGGUUUUGGCUCGUCAGUGGUCUUUCUUUACUUUUGUUGGGAAUUACUUCUCACUCCCGUUGAAACUUCACUUUCUUAGUAAAAGUUUGAGGGAGGAGAUGGUGCAAUAUAAGACUAUAGUUGCUGUCACUC
Molecule: long non-coding RNA, 264 nt
Filed under: Elaeis guineensis (African oil palm)
Lineage: Eukaryota; Viridiplantae; Streptophyta; Magnoliopsida; Arecales; Arecaceae
Description: long non-coding RNA (EGUI_LNC015750)
Source: RNAcentral